AUGUCUGGAAGGCUAUGGUCCAAGGUCAUUUUGCCGUCUGUAAGUGGGGUCUCUAGAACCAAAGGGAGCAUACAUUUCUUCUUAAAAUUGAAGGUGUUUAUGCCUGAGAUGAAACUGAAUUCUAUUUGGGCAAGAAAUGUGCUUAUGUGUACAAAGGGAAGAACAACACAGUGACUCCUGGUGGUAAACCAAACAAAGCCAUAAUAAUCUGGGGAAAGGUAAUUCAGGCCCAUGGAAACGGUGGCAUGGUUUGUUCCAAAUUCCAAAGCAAUCCUCCUGCUAAGGCCAUUGGACACAAAAUCCGUGUGAUGCUGUAUCCCUCAAGGAUUUAA
This 332-nucleotide long non-coding RNA is filed under the name Homo sapiens (human). Its description in RNAcentral is "non-protein coding lnc-ASB9-3:1". The record is from RNAcentral. Lineage: Eukaryota; Metazoa; Chordata; Mammalia; Primates; Hominidae.